Molecule: non-coding RNA, 470 nt
Organism: Pelodiscus sinensis (Chinese soft-shelled turtle)
Lineage: Eukaryota; Metazoa; Chordata; Testudines; Trionychidae
Source: RefSeq, a predicted model, not a curated record
GUAAGAUCUUUGCAGAAAAACUAAAUGAAUUAUUUGCAUUGGUUUUCACAGCUGAGGAUGUUAGGGAGGGUAGGGGCUGGCCAGGUAACUUCCCAUGGAAGGGUGGAAUGUAGAAACAGAAUUCCCGCCCAAAGUGGAAUCUAGAAAACAAUAGGAAGCAGGCAGUUUCUUUGUCUUUGGCUGGUGUGGCACACCCAAGAGGAUGAACCAGAGACCUCAGGGAGUGGGGACUUCCCUGGUUUGAAAGCUUAGCUGGAACAAGGACAGCUUGAGGGUCCCUGGUGAGCAGCUCCAUGGAGCACACAUCCGUAAUGAAGCUGCCAGGAUGGCUGGUUUCACUCACCCCUUCGUUUGGGGGUCACAAUGAGAGAGGAAAAGUCCAAGUGUCUGGUACUUAAGGAGGAGUGGCUGGAAGGCCCAAUUUUGAGAGGCUCAGGAUUGGGUGGCUGCAGGUAUUAUCCUGCAAAGAG